RNAcentral lists this transfer RNA (82 nucleotides) under Desulfobaccales bacterium. RNAcentral's name for it is "tRNA-Leu". It matches the Rfam family "tRNA". Rfam says of the family: Transfer RNA (tRNA) molecules are approximately 80 nucleotides in length. The record is from RNAcentral. Lineage: Bacteria; Pseudomonadati; Thermodesulfobacteriota; Desulfobaccia; Desulfobaccales.
GCGAGAGUGGCGGAAUUCGGCAGACGCACCGGGUUUAGGGUCCGGCGGGAUAACCGUGGGGGUUCGAGUCCCCCCUCUCGCA